This 273-nucleotide ribosomal RNA is filed under the name uncultured bacterium. RNAcentral's name for it is "partial 16S ribosomal RNA". It matches the Rfam family "Bacterial small subunit ribosomal RNA", at positions 935 to 1215 of the family's 1533-position model. The record is from RNAcentral.
UGAGUAUGUGGUUUAAUUCGAUGCAACACGAAAAACCUUUGCAAUCCCUGACAUCCUAGUAGUAGGAACCCGAAACGGCAACGGCCGGCGUUCGCGGUGGAGCUAGCACAGGUGUCACAUGGCUGUCGUCAGCUCUUGCCGUGAGGUGUUGGGUUAAGCCCCAUAACGAGCGCAACCCCUGCUUUGAGUUGGUUUCUCACAGGAGACUGCCCAGGAAUUCUGGGAGGAAGGUGGGGAUGACGUCAAGUCAGCAUGGCCUUUAUAUCUUGGGCA